This 1820-nucleotide long non-coding RNA is filed under the name Marmota monax (woodchuck). The record is from RNAcentral. Lineage: Eukaryota; Metazoa; Chordata; Mammalia; Rodentia; Sciuridae.
AUCCUUUGCAGAAGAAGUGACCGUGUGACACAAUUGUGACCAAUAAAAUACAAUCAAGUCUCAGAGGAGGGGAGAACUAUGAAAAGGAAUGCUUUCAUGGACUCUUGCCUUUCAUCCUUUGUUUACCCUCCCACUUAGAACUUGAAGGUAAGGCAGACAUCUUUCCACAAUGAGGUUAAAAACUUCUUCAGGAAAAGAGUGGCACACGAUCAUCCAGACUCAUCAGGAAGCGAGAAGAUUGUGAGGAUUCCUGAGGAUGCAUUUGAAUCGGGCUGCCUUCUUAUCUAAAAAUAUAAUUCUUACUGAAGUCAUUUUAAAUUGCAUUUUCUGUUACGUUCCGUUGAACCAGUUCCCAUCUGAUAAACCAUGCAUGUAUUAUCACCUCAUGAAGGCCUUCUGCUUGUCUCCCUGGUCUUUUGGGGCUUUACCUUUCUCCUUAUUCUUGAACCUCAAGCAAUUUUCAUGUUCCUUCUAUCUGUAGUAGCAUUGUUGCCAGAGUUGCCCAUUCCACCAACUAUAGUCCCUAUGUAACUUCUAAAUGUUUCCACUUUGGUCUACCAACUAUGAUCUGCAUUUUCUUUUUCAGAAAGCUGGCUAUAUUUCAGAUGUUUGCAUGAUUUGCUCAUAUUCUGACAAAACUAUGGUAAUCCUUAGCAAUGUGCUAAGAACAGGGUCCUAAACAAGACUGGCUGGAAAUUCUAGACACAAGCUUCACAUUAACUCUACUAUAGUUUAAACAGCCGAGGCUAUUUCUAAAGACCUUCCUUAAUGUCAGUAUUUUUAUGAUCUUUUUCUUGGUUUUCUCAAUUCCCCAGAUACAAUCCUCUUAUUUCCUUCAUGGAAGAUGUAAGUACACAGCCCGUGUUUUAGGAACCACAGGGGAAAAAGUGGAGGAGUCUCAAUAUUCAUUUUAUAAACUUUUACUUCUCUUUAGUUUCCAGUGUGACCCACCUCUUCUUUUUAGUAUUGCCUUGCAGGAAUUCUGUGUUUUAACUGUUCCAGAGAAUAAACUCCAAAACUUCUCCCAAAGGGAAAGAAAGAUAGUUGCCAAACUGGCUGGGGCGGGGUGGGGGGGCGGUGUGUGGCAAUGAGAACUGUGGUAAGGGAUUUACUAUCUGCUUCUUGAACAGACUUAUAUUCUAUCACCACCAACUUCUGAGGCUUUGUGUGUUUUCUUCUAUAAACCAUGUUGUUUGGGCUGGGGGUGUAGCUCAGUGGCAGAGCUCUUGACUAGCAUGUGCAAGGCUUUGGGUUCAAGGAAAUGAAAAAAUCCAUUCAUUUAUCUGUCAAUGAAUCAAUGAUGUUGCUUCUUUGAUUUCCCUUUGCCAGCCUUGAUUUGAACUUGAAUGGGUCUCAGUCCAUUAUCAUUCAUUCCUCUGCUUUCACCUAUAAUAAUGUCUUCUUUCUUGAUAUAUUUUGCCUUCCUGGGUUUAUGUGUCAAAACAAAAUAAAAUCAAGGGAUAUUGGCCAAAUUAUAUUGUUCUAAUAUGUGCACGAACUAAUUUGCUGUUUAUGGAACAGCAAAUCUCACCAUUAUGCACAACUAUACUGCACCAAUAAAAAAUGCAGAGAAGGUAAUAAAAAAACAAACAAACAAACAAACAAAAAAUAAAAUCAAACAAAAUACUUUACAUAUUGUUUUUCUGGUGAUUUAGAAGGAAGCAGAAGUUACUACAUAUUUCUACCUUUAGCAAGAAAAUUAUUCUUUCAUUUCACAUUUUUUAUUAUUAAUAUAAAGAAACAUUCCCUGUAGUAAAUACUGAAAUGUAGUUAAAAAUUGCUAGGUAAAGUAAUUGUAUGUCUCUUGAGUUUAUUUUUCC